AACGACUCUCGGCAACGGAUAUCUCGGCUCUCGCAUCGAUGAAGAACGUAGCGAAAUGCGAUACUUGGUGUGAAUUGCAGAAUCCCGUGAACCAUCGAGUCUUUGAACGCAAGUUGCGCCCGAAGCCAUCUGGCCGAGGGCACGUCUGCCUGGGCGUCACGCGUCUCUUCGCCCCCCC
Molecule: ribosomal RNA, 178 nt
Filed under: Lysionotus pauciflorus
Lineage: Eukaryota; Viridiplantae; Streptophyta; Magnoliopsida; Lamiales; Gesneriaceae
Also listed under: 3 other names
Description: 5.8S ribosomal RNA
Rfam family: 5.8S ribosomal RNA (bases 4-159)
About the family: 5.8S ribosomal RNA (5.8S rRNA) is a component of the large subunit of the eukaryotic ribosome. It is transcribed by RNA polymerase I as part of the 45S precursor that also contains 18S and 28S rRNA.
Source: RNAcentral